RNAcentral lists this ribosomal RNA (1431 nucleotides) under Streptococcus thermophilus. RNAcentral's name for it is "bacterial SSU rRNA". It matches the Rfam family "Bacterial small subunit ribosomal RNA". Lineage: Bacteria; Bacillati; Bacillota; Bacilli; Lactobacillales; Streptococcaceae. The record is from RNAcentral.
UGCAAGUAGAACGCUGAAGAGAGGAGCUUGCUCUUCUUGGAUGAGUUGCGAACGGGUGAGUAACGCGUAGGUAACCUGCCUUGUAGCGGGGGAUAACUAUUGGAAACGAUAGCUAAUACCGCAUAACAAUGGAUGACACAUGUCAUUUAUUUGAAAGGGGCAAUUGCUCCACUACAAGAUGGACCUGCGUUGUAUUAGCUAGUAGGUGAGGUAAUGGCUCACCUAGGCGACGAUACAUAGCCGACCUGAGAGGGUGAUCGGCCACACUGGGACUGAGACACGGCCCAGACUCCUACGGGAGGCAGCAGUAGGGAAUCUUCGGCAAUGGGGGCAACCCUGACCGAGCAACGCCGCGUGAGUGAAGAAGGUUUUCGGAUCGUAAAGCUCUGUUGUAAGUCAAGAACGGGUGUGAGAGUGGAAAGUUCACACUGUGACGGUAGCUUACCAGAAAGGGACGGCUAACUACGUGCCAGCAGCCGCGGUAAUACGUAGGUCCCGAGCGUUGUCCGGAUUUAUUGGGCGUAAAGCGAGCGCAGGCGGUUUGAUAAGUCUGAAGUUAAAGGCUGUGGCUCAACCAUAGUUCGCUUUGGAAACUGUCAAACUUGAGUGCAGAAGGGGAGAGUGGAAUUCCAUGUGUAGCGGUGAAAUGCGUAGAUAUAUGGAGGAACACCGGUGGCGAAAGCGGCUCUCUGGUCUGUAACUGACGCUGAGGCUCGAAAGCGUGGGGAGCGAACAGGAUUAGAUACCCUGGUAGUCCACGCCGUAAACGAUGAGUGCUAGGUGUUGGAUCCUUUCCGGGAUUCAGUGCCGCAGCUAACGCAUUAAGCACUCCGCCUGGGGAGUACGACCGCAAGGUUGAAACUCAAAGGAAUUGACGGGGGCCCGCACAAGCGGUGGAGCAUGUGGUUUAAUUCGAAGCAACGCGAAGAACCUUACCAGGUCUUGACAUCCCGAUGCUAUUUCUAGAGAUAGAAAGUUACUUCGGUACAUCGGUGACAGGUGGUGCAUGGUUGUCGUCAGCUCGUGUCGUGAGAUGUUGGGUUAAGUCCCGCAACGAGCGCAACCCCUAUUGUUAGUUGCCAUCAUUCAGUUGGGCACUCUAGCGAGACUGCCGGUAAUAAACCGGAGGAAGGUGGGGAUGACGUCAAAUCAUCAUGCCCCUUAUGACCUGGGCUACACACGUGCUACAAUGGUUGGUACAACGAGUUGCGAGUCGGUGACGGCGAGCUAAUCUCUUAAAGCCAAUCUCAGUUCGGAUUGUAGGCUGCAACUCGCCUACAUGAAGUCGGAAUCGCUAGUAAUCGCGGAUCAGCACGCCGCGGUGAAUACGUUCCCGGGCCUUGUACACACCGCCCGUCACACCACGAGAGUUUGUAACACCCGAAGUCGGUGAGGUAACCUUUUGGAGCCAGCCGCCUAAGGUGGGACAGA